GCCCCCCUCGCUUCUCUCGGAGCAGCCUGAUGCCCCUCCCCCUGGCAGAGCCAGUACGUCUUCCUGCACAGCUGCCUACUGAACAAGAUUCUGGAAGCGCCCUCCAACAUCUCUGAGUAAGUCCCAGCUUCCCUGUGCCUCCCACAGGCAGGCUCCCUGCUCCUGUUCGUGGGCAGAGCCGAGCAGACUAGAAUGGGGAGCUGGGGAACCUUGAGUGCCUUCUCCCUCUUCAACCCCUCAACGAGGUCCUGGCCCAUCUCUGUGAUGAAAUUCAUGCAGGCUUGUGCCAAGAGGGCAGCCAAUGCCAACGCUGGCUUCUUGAAGAAGUACGAGCUCCUGCUGCAAGCCAUCAAGGACGAGGCUGGCUCUUCCGCGCCCUCCUGGCUAUGAGCAGGACAGCCCCAUCUCCUAUGACUGUUCUCAGGGACAGUUUUCUCCGGUGGAGGAGAGCCCCCCCGACGACAUGCCCGAAGCCUGGCUCUUCCCUGUGACAUGAUGCUGCUUUUGCCACUGUUUCCUGCCCUCUCUGACCACCUGUACUUCCCAGGCUGGGGCUGCUGGGGGCUCCCAGAGUUGUGGGCUGGACAGGGGACACCCUCAGUCUCUGGAAGCCCAUGAACUGUGCUCUGCAGCAUGGGCCCUCUGGCCGUGACCAUGUGGUGCUGACUGGCCCCGCAGGGCCAGAGGAGCUCUGGAAGCUGGUGUGGCAGCACGGGGCUCAUGUGCUUGUCUCUGGGUGCCCACCCGAUGCCACGGAGAAGGUGACAGAGCAGAGGACAGAGGAAGGGAGGCUCAGGAGUUAGGGCUGAGGAUGGAGGCGGGGAGUUUGCGAUGCUGUCUGUCACCAAGGCAGGGGCAGAGAUCUCAGGAAGCUGCCUGAGCUUGGUCCCAGCCACAGGAGUUCUGGCCAAUGGAGAUGCAGCCCAUUGUCACAGACAUGGUGACAGUGCACUGGGUGGCCGAGAGCAGCACAGCAGGCUGGCUCUGUACCCUCUUCAGGGUUACACAUGACAGCAGGAAGGAAAGGGAGGUGCAGAGGCUGCAGUUUCCAUACCUGGAACCUGGGCGUGAGCUGCCUGCCACCAACCUGCUGCCCUUCUUGGCUGCUGUGGGCCCGUGCUGCUCUCGGGGCAACAGCAAGAAGCCGGGCACACCGCUCAGCCGCUCCAGGUGGUGUUGGACAACGGUCUUGGGGGAGUGGACACUGGAAGCUCCUCCCUGCCCCUCUGGCAUAGCCUCAGAUCUCCCUGAGCCCUGCUUGGGUUGUGGGUGGAAAGGACACAGUCUCACAAUGGCCCCCUGUCUUCUCCACACCCCACCCUGUCCUCAGGAAUAUGGUGGGAAUUUACCGCCUCCCUCCCUGGGCCCAGGCUGGCUGACCAAGUGUUCAGUGUCCCUUCUCAGUCCCUGUGCCCAGGUUGGGUUUCCCCACAUCCCCAUACACCCCCGCCAUAUCCCCUUUAGGUACCUCAUCCAACUCUAG
RNAcentral lists this long non-coding RNA (1483 nucleotides) under Rhinopithecus roxellana (golden snub-nosed monkey). RNAcentral's name for it is "lncRNA (ENSRROG00000046011.1)". The record is from RNAcentral. Lineage: Eukaryota; Metazoa; Chordata; Mammalia; Primates; Cercopithecidae.